UCCAGACUCCUACGGGAGGCAGCAGUGGGGGAUAUUGCACAAUGGGGGGAACCCUGAUGCAGCGACGCCGCGUGGGUGAAGGAGCGUUUCGGCGCGCAAAGCCCUAUCGGCAGGGAAGAAGGAGGACGGUACCUGACUAAGAAGCCCCGGCUAACUACGUGCCAGCAGCCGCGGUAAUACGUAGGGGGCAAGCGUUAUCCGGAUUUACUGGGUGUAAAGGGGGCGCAGACGGCAGCGCAAGCCAGGAGUGAAAGCCCGGGGCCCAACCCCGGGACUGCUCUUGGAACUGCGCGGCUGGAGUGCAGGAGGGGCAGGCGGAAUUCCUGGUGUAGCGGUGAAAUGCGUAGAUAUCAGGAGGAACACCGGUGGCGAAGGCGGCCUGCUGGACUGCGACUGACGUUGAGGCCCGAAAGCGUGGGGAGCAAACAGGAUUAGAUACCCCGGUA
RNAcentral lists this ribosomal RNA (446 nucleotides) under uncultured bacterium. RNAcentral's name for it is "partial 16S ribosomal RNA". It matches the Rfam family "Bacterial small subunit ribosomal RNA", at positions 330 to 792 of the family's 1533-position model. The record is from RNAcentral.